RNAcentral lists this ribosomal RNA (330 nucleotides) under uncultured eukaryote. RNAcentral describes it as "partial 18S ribosomal RNA". It matches the Rfam family "Eukaryotic small subunit ribosomal RNA", at positions 1470 to 1796 of the family's 1831-position model. The record is from RNAcentral.
CCCUUAGAUGUUCGGGGCCGCACGCGCGCUACACUGAAGGCAUCAGCACGUCUUUCUCCUUGUCCGAAAGGACUGGGUAACCCGCUGAACCUCCUUCGUGCUAGGGAUUGGGGCUUGUAAUUCUUCCCCAUGAACGAGGAAUUCCCAGUAAGCGCGAGUCAUAAGCUCGCGUUGAUUACGUCCCUGCCCUUUGUACACACCGCCCGUCGCUACUACCGAUUGGAUGGUUUAGUGAGAUCCUCGGAUUGGUCCCGGCGCGGCCUCUGGUCGUGCCGGAGUGCCGAAAAGAAUGUCGAACUUGAUCAUCUAGAGGAAGUAAAAGUCGUAACA